UACGGAGGGUGCAAGCGUUAUCCGGAUUCACUGGGUUUAAAGGGUGCGUAGGCGGAUAGGUAAGUCCGUGGUGAAAUCCUGCAGCUUAACUGCAGAACUGCCGUGGAUACUAUCUAUCUUGAAUGUCGUGGAGGUUAGCGGAAUAUGUCAUGUAGCGGUGAAAUGCUUAGAUAUGACAUAGAACACCCAUUGCGAAGGCAGCUAACUACGCGAUAAUUGACGCUGAUGCACGAAAGCGUGGGGAUCAAACGGG
Molecule: ribosomal RNA, 253 nt
Filed under: uncultured bacterium
Lineage: Bacteria
Description: partial 16S ribosomal RNA
Rfam family: Bacterial small subunit ribosomal RNA
Source: RNAcentral